Non-coding RNA from Phascolarctos cinereus (koala), 447 nucleotides. Lineage: Eukaryota; Metazoa; Chordata; Mammalia; Diprotodontia; Phascolarctidae. The record is from RefSeq and is a predicted model, not a curated record.
UUUUUUUCCUUCUUCAAAGCAUUUGGGACAUCCUAUACAGAUUUCUCCUGGUUAAGGGAACCACGUGCAUCAGGUAACUACGUGGCCCCAGGAGAGGAUGGAACCACAUGGCUCCAGAGAUGGCAGCGGACAGAGCAAAAUGAGUAUUUCCGGGACCAAGCUGGGAGCUGAAGUACUAUGAUGGAGAAGCAGUGGUGGAAUGAUGGAGGAUUUCAUGCACCAAACCUUUUGGAUCCAGAGGAGGGGUUCCUGGAGAAUCCUGAAUUCCUGGCCCAAGCAUGAGCAGCAAAUGACAUCACCAUGAUGUAAAACAGAGGUGUCAGACACACAGCCUACAAGCUGCACGUGGCCGACAACGCUCCUGAGUGUUGCGUGAACCAGAUUAAAAUGUAAUUGGGAAAUAUUUUAAUAAAUAAAUUAAAAAACAAUAUUACAUUUUAGAACAAA